UACGGAGGGUGCAAGCGUUAUCCGGAUUCACUGGGUUUAAAGGGAGCGCAGGCGGAUUUGUAAGUCAGUGGUGAAAGGCUUAAGCUUAACUUGGGAACUGCCAUUGAUACUGCAAAUCUCGAGUCCGGAAGAGGUGAGUGGAAUUCCUAGUGUAGAGGUGAAAUUCGUAGAUAUUAGGAAGAACACCAGUGGCGAAGGCGGCUCACUGGUCCGGUACUGACGCUGAGGUGCGAAAGCGUGGGGAGCAAACAGG
Molecule: ribosomal RNA, 253 nt
Filed under: uncultured bacterium
Lineage: Bacteria
Description: partial 16S ribosomal RNA
Rfam family: Bacterial small subunit ribosomal RNA
Source: RNAcentral